This 1355-nucleotide ribosomal RNA is filed under the name uncultured soil bacterium. Its description in RNAcentral is "bacterial SSU rRNA". It matches the Rfam family "Bacterial small subunit ribosomal RNA", at positions 28 to 1381 of the family's 1533-position model. The record is from RNAcentral.
AUUGAACGCUGGCGGAAUGCUUUACACAUGCAAGUCGAACGGCAGCACGGGAGCUUGCUCCUGGUGGCGAGUGGCGAACGGGUGAGUAACGCGUCGGAACGUACCGAGUAAUGGGGGAUAACGCAGCGAAAGCUGUGCUAAUACCGCAUACGCCCUGAGGGGGAAAGUGGGGGAUCGCAAGACCUCACGUUAUUCGAGCGGCCGACGUCUGAUUAGCUUGUUGGUGGGGUAAUGGCCUACCAAGGCGACGAUCAGUAGCGGGUCUGAGAGGAUGAUCCGCCACACUGGAACUGAGACACGGUCCAGACUCCUACGGGAGGCAGCAGUGGGAAUUUUGGACAAUGGGGGCAACCCUGAUCCAGCCAUUCCGCGUGAGUGAAGAAGGCCUUCGGGUUGUAAAGCUCUUUCAGCUGGAACGAAACGGUACAUCCUAAUACGGUGUGCUAAUGACGGUACCAGCAGAAGAAGCACCGGCUAACUACGUGCCAGCAGCCGCGGUAAUACGUAGGGUGCGAGCGUUAAUCGGAAUUACUGGGCGUAAAGCGUGCGCAGGCGGAUUGUUAAGCAAGAUGUGAAAUCCCCGGGCUUAACCUGGGAAUGGCAUUUUGAACUGGCAGUCUAGAGUGUGUCAGAGGGGGGUGGAAUUCCACGUGUAGCAGUGAAAUGCGUAGAGAUGUGGAGGAACACCAAUGGCGAAGGCAGCCCCCUGGGAUAACACUGACGCUCAUGUACGAAAGCGUGGGUAGCAAACAGGAUUAGAUACCCUGGUAGUCCACGCCCUAAACGAUGUCAACUGGUUGUUGGGGGAGUGAAAUCCCUUAGUAACGAAGCUAACGCGUGAAGUUGACCGCCUGGGGAGUACGGUCGCAAGAUUAAAACUCAAAGGAAUUGACGGGGACCCGCACAAGCGGUGGAUGAUGUGGAUUAAUUCGAUGCAACGCGAAAAACCUUACCUACCCUUGACAUGUCCAGAACCCUGCAGAGAUGCGGGGGUGCCCGAAAGGGAAUUGGAACACAGGUGCUGCAUGGCUGUCGUCAGCUCGUGUCGUGAGAUGUUGGGUUAAGUCCCGCAACGAGCGCAACCCUUAUCAUUAGUUGCUACGCAAGGGCACUCUAAUGAGACUGCCGGUGACAAACCGGAGGAAGGUGGGGAUGACGUCAAGUCCUCAUGGCCCUUAUGGGUAGGGCUUCACACGUCAUACAAUGGUCGGUACAGAGGGUUGCCAAGCCGCGAGGUGGAGCCAAUCCCAGAAAGCCGAUCGUAGUCCGGAUUGUUCUCUGCAACUCGAGAGCAUGAAGUCGGAAUCGCUAGUAAUCGCGGAUCAGCAUGUCGCGGUGAAUACGUUCCCGGGUCU